GAUAAACGCUGGCGGCGUGCUUAACACAUGCAAGUCGAACGAAGCACUUUAUUUGAUUUCCUUCGGGACUGAUUAUUUUGUGACUGAGUGGCGGACGGGUGAGUAACGCGUGGGUAACCUGCCUUGUACAGGGGGAUAACAGUUGGAAACGGCUGCUAAUACCGCAUAAGCGCACAGCAUCGCAUGAUGCAGUGUGAAAAACUCCGGUGGUAUAAGAUGGACCCGCGUUGGAUUAGCUAGUUGGUGAGGUAACGGCCCACCAAGGCGACGAUCCAUAGCCGACCUGAGAGGGUGACCGGCCACAUUGGGACUGAGACACGGCCCAAACUCCUACGGGAGGCAGCAGUGGGGAAUAUUGCACAAUGGGCGAAAGCCUGAUGCAGCGACGCCGCGUGAGCGAAGAAGUAUUUCGGUAUGUAAAGCUCUAUCAGCAGGGAAGAUAAUGACGGUACCUGACUAAGAAGCACCGGCUAAAUACGU
This 480-nucleotide ribosomal RNA is filed under the name uncultured bacterium. RNAcentral's name for it is "partial 16S ribosomal RNA". It matches the Rfam family "Bacterial small subunit ribosomal RNA", at positions 28 to 506 of the family's 1533-position model. The record is from RNAcentral.